UCACUAGGCUGCGGUCGUGUCUUGUUGA
This 28-nucleotide non-coding RNA is filed under the name Homo sapiens (human). The record is from RNAcentral. Lineage: Eukaryota; Metazoa; Chordata; Mammalia; Primates; Hominidae.